GCCUACGGGGCGCAGCAGUAGGGAAUCUUCCACAAUGGGCGAAAGCCUGAUGGAGCAACGCCGCGUGGGUGAAGAAGGUCUUCGGAUCGUAAAACCCUGUUGUUAGAGAAGAAAGUGCGUGAGAGUAACUGUUCACGUUUCGACGGUAUCUAACCAGAACGCCACGGCUCACUACGUGCCAGCAGCCGCGGUAAUACGUAGGUGGCAAGCGUUAUCCGGAUUUAUUGGGCGUAAAGGGAACGCAGGCGGUCUUUUAAGUCUGAUGUGAAAGCCUUCGGCUUAACCGGAGUAUUGCAUUGGAAACU
This 305-nucleotide ribosomal RNA is filed under the name uncultured bacterium. Its description in RNAcentral is "bacterial SSU rRNA". It matches the Rfam family "Bacterial small subunit ribosomal RNA", at positions 337 to 634 of the family's 1533-position model. The record is from RNAcentral.